GAUGAACGCUGGCGGCGUGCCUAAUACAUGCAAGUCGAGCGAACAGACGAGGAUCUUGCUCCUCUGACGUUAGCGGCGGACGGGUGAGUAACACGUGGAUAACCUACCUAUAAGACUGGGAUAACUUCGGGAAACCGGAGCUAAUACCGGAUAAUAUAUUGAACCGCAUGGUUCAAUAGUGAAAGACGGUUUUGCUGUCACUUAUAGAUGGAUCCGCGCCGCAUUAGCUAGUUGGUAAGGUAACGGCUUACCAAGGCAACGAUGCGUAGCCGACCCGAGAGGGUGAUCGGCCACACUGGAACUGAGACACGGUCCAGACUCCUACGGGAGGCAGCAGUAGGGAAUCUUCCGCAAUGGGCGAAAGCCUGACGGAGCAACGCCGCGUGAGUGAUGAAGGUCUUCGGAUCGUAAAACUCUGUUAUUAGGGAAGAACAAAUGUGUAAGUAACUAUGCACGUCUUGACGGUACCUAAUCAGAAAGCCACGGCUAACUACGUG
Molecule: ribosomal RNA, 497 nt
Filed under: uncultured bacterium
Lineage: Bacteria
Description: partial 16S ribosomal RNA
Rfam family: Bacterial small subunit ribosomal RNA
Source: RNAcentral